GCCCCACCGACCAGGCUCAGGUUCUGGUGGCCCCUGAGAGUGCUGUUCAGAGGAGCCAGUCUCCAGGGAAGAAGCAAAGGAUGACUGGCAAAGUCCAUAUUGAGGGACCACGGCCCGAGGACAGGAUCACCAGUGGCCCAACACGGUGGCCUAGGGCCAGGGCAUGUCACCCAGUGACCCAGACAGGGCCUCGAGGGAGCCAUCACAGCUUGUCCCAAGCCUUCUAGAUCUCAUGAUAUUUCUGCUUCUUGGAACCCGCGCUGGUGAGGAAACACGGCUGGUUAUGGCAGCCCUUCUCUCGAGUCCGUUGGGCAAUGGUCUCGGCUGGACGACGGCACAACCCCUGCCCAGAGAGCAGGGCACUGUCGGAGGCUCCCGCCUGCUCCAGAGAGGUGCUGUGACCUCCAAUGUCAGGUUCGGACCCGUCUGAAGUAGCCUCCCGGAGUGAUUUACAAUUUGCAAACACGUUUUAUUUGAUUCCUCAGUUGUGCUAGAGCAAUUACAGUGACUAAGCAUGACAAAUCACUCCCAUCACGGUGUCUACUCGCUGUUAGGAAAUGUGUUUGCUUCACUAUUGUGCCUGGUGUGGCAGCAUUUUAAAAAUAGACUCAUUCACUGUACUUGAAGGCAAUUUGUUCCAAAUUUUCCCACUAAUUUGAUUUUAAUCUGAUAUUUAAAAUUCGUGUGACCACAUUCCCACUGAUUUAUAGGGAAUAAGCCCUACCUGGCAGCAGUUUAAUUGGCCUUAACCCAGAAGUCCACAGGACAGAGGAUUUAUCCCAGAACAAUUUGAAACCACUGGUGUCGGUGAUGCUUAAAUGCAUGUCUCAUUCAGCACAUGGCAAGUGCCACUGUCUCGGAGCCACUAACAGUGUGGGCUGAGGGCUCUGCCACGCUCCUGCAGGACCCUGGCACGUAGUAGGUCAACAGUCCUCGCCGAGCAGAUGCGUGGAGCCCAGAUGUCCCGGCAUGAUGCAUGCCUGUUGGAGGCCCUGAGUUGCGUUCUGCGGGAAAGCCAUUUGUUCACGGGUGAUAAAUAGAAGUUUCCUCUUUCUCCCAUCCCGUGAUCAAGUUGGGUCCUGGGAGGAGGGCCCCGCAGCUCUGGCACCAAGUGCGUCCUGCCCUUGCCUGCUACUGACUGUCUGGCCCUCACCGCGCCUCCUGAUUUCUCGGAGCUUCCGUCUCCUUUUAGGCAAAAUGUAUGCAAAACUAGUACCCCGUCAGUCAUCAGUUGUUGUGAAAGGUAAACAGGCAAAGCUUGUGAGACACUUGUCUCAAGGUAAUGAGAUUACUGUGUGUUAGGGCAGGAGACAGGGUGGGUGAGGGAAGGCACACCUCAGUCCCUGAAAAGUCCCGCGGAAGGAGACACUCGUCGGAAUAAUAAGGACAAAACCCUUGCCCCAGAGUAACCAAGUUCCUGAAGUCACUUG
Molecule: long non-coding RNA, 1430 nt
Filed under: Ursus maritimus (polar bear)
Lineage: Eukaryota; Metazoa; Chordata; Mammalia; Carnivora; Ursidae
Description: lncRNA (ENSUMAG00000019249.1)
Source: RNAcentral